UCCUAGACCCAUCAGCUCUAAGACCACUGCAACAAGGUCUCUCUCUGUCAUCCAGGCUGGAGUGCAAUAGCAUGAUCAUAGCUCACUGAUACCUUGAACUCCUGGGCUCAAGGGAUCCUCCUGCCCCAGCCUCCCAAGUAGCUGGAACUACAGGUACACUUCAUGAUGCCUAGCUAAUUGUUUUUUAAUUUAAUUUAAUUUUAUUUUAUU
RNAcentral lists this long non-coding RNA (210 nucleotides) under Piliocolobus tephrosceles (Ugandan red Colobus). RNAcentral's name for it is "lncRNA (ENSPTEG00000020261.1)". Lineage: Eukaryota; Metazoa; Chordata; Mammalia; Primates; Cercopithecidae. The record is from RNAcentral.